Molecule: long non-coding RNA, 586 nt
Organism: Symphalangus syndactylus (siamang)
Lineage: Eukaryota; Metazoa; Chordata; Mammalia; Primates; Hylobatidae
Source: RefSeq, a predicted model, not a curated record
GGGCUCUAAGGGUUUUACUUUUCACAAGUGGAGAAUGCUGGUGAACAGUUGGAAAAUAAGAAUUCUCUGGGCUUCCUAAACACAAUGGCUGCUGUUAAGUUGAAUUUAUGUAUCAGGCCACGGUGGUGAAAAUGAAGAAUCAGGAACUAAAAAUGUGAAAGCUCUCCCCUAACUCGAACAUCAGCCAAACACCCCAAGCUACCCUGCAGAGCCAGCGCCUUGGAUGUGUGAGGAGUUGCCCCAGCUGGAUCAACCAAAUCAGGAAGAGACUUUGGCCUUUUCAAAAAUAAACUUCUCUGCCCACCUCAAUUCGUUCAGCUGAAACAGACCAGGAUCCCGCUGUCCUGCACCAUGCUUUAGACACACUGGCCUGCUUGCAGUUCCACACACCUUUCAUGCCCUCCUCUCCUGGAGCUUCACAGAUGGAGACCCACAUUCAGAAACACUCUCUCCAGCCUUCUCACAUGCUUUGCCUGCCAGCGCUCUACUUGUCCUUCAGGACUUGGUUUCAACAGCAACCCCAACAGGAUGUGCUCCCAAAGCACACGCACUUGCCACCAGGGCCACAGUGAUUGUUCAUGCUGAG